RNAcentral lists this ribosomal RNA (253 nucleotides) under uncultured bacterium. RNAcentral's name for it is "partial 16S ribosomal RNA". It matches the Rfam family "Bacterial small subunit ribosomal RNA", at positions 524 to 776 of the family's 1533-position model. The record is from RNAcentral.
UACGGGGGGAGCAAGCGUUGUUCGGAAUUACUGGGCGUAAAGCGUGCGCAGGCGGUUUUGUAAGUCAGAUGUGAAAUCCCCGGGCUUAACCUGGGAACUGCGUUUGUGACUGCCCGGCUAGAGUGUGUCAGAGGGAGGUAGAAUUCCACGUGUAGCAGUGAAAUGCGUAGAUAUGUGGAGGAAUACCGAUGGCGAAGGCAGCCCCCUGGGAUAACACUGACGCUCAUGCACGAAAGCGUGGGGAGCAAACAGG